RNAcentral lists this small nuclear RNA (23 nucleotides) under Arabidopsis thaliana (thale cress). RNAcentral's name for it is "snRNA_00312". Lineage: Eukaryota; Viridiplantae; Streptophyta; Magnoliopsida; Brassicales; Brassicaceae. The record is from RNAcentral.
UAGAAACAUCAGAGUGGUCUCUG